GAUGAACGCUGGCGGCGUGCCUAAUACAUGCAAGUCGAGCGAAGGGACGAGAAGCUUGCUGCUCUGAUGUUAGCGGCGGACGGGUGAGUAACACGUGGAUAACCUACCUAUAUGACUGAGAUAAGUUCGGGAAACCGGAGCUAAUACCGGAUGAUAUUUUGAACCGGAUGGUUCAGAAGUGAAAGACGGUCUUUCUGUCACUUAUAGAUGGAUCCGCGCUGCAUUAGCUAGUUGGUAAGGUAACGGCUUACCAAGGCAACGAUGCAUAGCCGAGCUGAGAGGGUGAUCGGCCACACUGGAACUGAGACACGGUCCAGACUCCUACGGGAGGCAGCAGUAGGGAAUCUUCCGCAAUGGGCGAAAGCCUGACGGAGCAACGCCGCGUGAGUGAUGAAGGUCUUCGGAUCGUAAAACUCUGUUAUUAGGGAAGAACAUAUGUGUAAGUAACUGUGCACAUCUUGACGGUACCUAAUCAGAAAGCCACGGCUAACUACGUG
RNAcentral lists this ribosomal RNA (497 nucleotides) under uncultured bacterium. Its description in RNAcentral is "partial 16S ribosomal RNA". It matches the Rfam family "Bacterial small subunit ribosomal RNA", at positions 28 to 507 of the family's 1533-position model. The record is from RNAcentral.